RNAcentral lists this ribosomal RNA (260 nucleotides) under uncultured Oscillospiraceae bacterium. Its description in RNAcentral is "partial 16S ribosomal RNA". It matches the Rfam family "Bacterial small subunit ribosomal RNA", at positions 81 to 339 of the family's 1533-position model. The record is from RNAcentral. Lineage: Bacteria; Bacillati; Bacillota; Clostridia; Eubacteriales; Oscillospiraceae.
UUUGCUUUGACUUAGUGGCGGACGGGUGAGUAAUGUAUGAGCAACCUGCCUUUCAGUGGGGGACAACAGUUGGAAACGACUGCUAAUACCGCAUGAUGUCAAUUGGGGGCAUCCCCGAAUGACCAAAGGAUUUAUUCGCUGAAAGAUGGGCUCAUAUCUGAUUAGCUAGUUGGUGAGGUAACGGCUCACCAAGGCUGCGAUCAGUAGCCGGACUGAGAGGUUGAACGGCCACAUUGGGACUGAGAUACGGCCCAGACUCC